CUGCAUCUAUUCGACAGACCUGGAGCAGUUACUGUCUGCUGCCAAGGUUUCUACUACAGAUGCAAAAACAGUGUGCUUGCAAUUUCUGUCUAUCUGAUUAUGGCAGCCAAGAUUGAAUGGUGGAAUGGCGGG
This 132-nucleotide small nucleolar RNA is filed under the name Myotis lucifugus (little brown bat). Its description in RNAcentral is "Small nucleolar RNA SNORA31 (ENSMLUG00000022152.2)". Lineage: Eukaryota; Metazoa; Chordata; Mammalia; Chiroptera; Vespertilionidae. The record is from RNAcentral.